Molecule: unclassified non-coding RNA, 212 nt
Filed under: Hevea brasiliensis (rubber tree)
Lineage: Eukaryota; Viridiplantae; Streptophyta; Magnoliopsida; Malpighiales; Euphorbiaceae
Source: RNAcentral
GACAAGCCUAUCGUCAAUUUGAAGUUCCUUGGUGACAAAAUCUGCACCAAUUGUAGCUUUAUAUUGCUGGCUGAACUUCUUAUGCACGUAUUGGUUCAUCAACGACGUCUUACCAACCCCACUAUCACCGAGAACGAUGACCUUGAGCAAAGUCCGUCUACGGAAAGACAUGGCAACAAAACCAAUGAAUGAAUCAAUCAAUCAAUUCAGAG